GGUUUUCCCAAAUGCACAUGCUUGAUGGGCUGCCAGUCUCCCCACCUCCCUGCUGCUGGACAUGGAUGUUCUCAAACAAGGCUCCCGCUGUUCUCAUUGCAUGCAGUCAUCCCACACAACUCAUGAAGCUGCCCACAACUCAACUCAGGGAGCAAGUGCUCCAUACCUAUGGUCCCUCCACCACAAUAUUGACUGCGCUGCACCCCAGGAUCCUGAGAUGACCAACUGGAGGGAAGAGGCAGGGAUGAACAACUAUUUGUGUCCAGGAUGAUACCACAGGUAAGCUGAAGAAGGAG
RNAcentral lists this long non-coding RNA (296 nucleotides) under Ornithorhynchus anatinus (platypus). RNAcentral's name for it is "lncRNA (ENSOANG00000032915.2)". Lineage: Eukaryota; Metazoa; Chordata; Mammalia; Monotremata; Ornithorhynchidae. The record is from RNAcentral.